UACGGAGGGUGCAAGCGUUAUCCGGAAUUAUUGGGCGUAAAGCGCACGCAGGCGGUUUGUUAAGUCGGCUGUGAAAUCCCCGGGCUCAACCUUGGGACUGCAUUGGAUACUGGCCGACUUGAGUGUGGUAGGGGAGAGUGGAAUUCCUGGUGUAGCGGUGAAAUGCGUAGAGAUCAGGAGGAACACCGAUGGCGAAGGCGGCUCUCUGGGCGAUAACUGACGCUGAGGAGCGAAAGCGUGGGGAGCGAACAGG
Molecule: ribosomal RNA, 253 nt
Filed under: uncultured bacterium
Lineage: Bacteria
Description: partial 16S ribosomal RNA
Rfam family: Bacterial small subunit ribosomal RNA
Source: RNAcentral